RNAcentral lists this ribosomal RNA (398 nucleotides) under uncultured bacterium. Its description in RNAcentral is "bacterial SSU rRNA". It matches the Rfam family "Bacterial small subunit ribosomal RNA", at positions 361 to 776 of the family's 1533-position model. The record is from RNAcentral.
AUAUUGCGCAAUGGGGGAAACCCUGACGCAGCAACGCCGCGUGCGGGAUGACGGCCUUCGGGUUGUAAACCGCUUUCAGCAGGGAAGAACAUCGACGGUACCUGCAGAAGAAGCCCCGGCUAACUACGUGCCAGCAGCCGCGGUAAUACGUAGGGGGCGAGCGUUAUCCGGAUUCAUUGGGCGUAAAGCGCGCGUAGGCGGGUGCCUAAGCGGGACCUCUAACCUCGGGGCUCAACCCCGAGCCGGGUCCCGAACUGGGCGCCUCGAGUGCGGUAGGGGAGAUCGGAAUUCCCGGUGUAGCGGUGGAAUGCGCAGAUAUCGGGAAGAACACCGAUGGCGAAGGCAGAUCUCUGGGCCGACACUGACGCUGAGGCGCGAAAGCUAGGGGAGCGAACAGG